This 336-nucleotide ribosomal RNA is filed under the name Foraminifera environmental sample. RNAcentral describes it as "SSU rRNA". It matches the Rfam family "Eukaryotic small subunit ribosomal RNA", at positions 1160 to 1418 of the family's 1831-position model. Lineage: Eukaryota; Foraminifera. The record is from RNAcentral.
AAGGGCACCACAAGAACGCGUGGAGCAUGUGGCUUAAUUUGACCCAACGCGGGAAAUCUUACCGGGUCCGGACACACUGAGGAUUGACAGGCAAUAUUAAAAAUAAUUUUAUUAUUUUUAUGUUAAAUAUGCUAGUCCUUUCAUGAUUAUGUGAUAGGUGGUGCAUGGCCGUUCUUAGUUCGUGGAGUGAUCUGUCUGCUUAAUUGCGUUUCACUAAGGGCUUAUAAAUUACGUGUGUUGUAGGUACUUUGACCCCUACGUUGAAAUAUUACGUAGUGCGUGUCUUAGUUUGCUUUUACUCACACAAUUAAGUCCUGAAAGCAACGAACGUGACCG